UCAAAGUGAAAGGAGAAGAGAAAAAGCAGCGAUUUGUUCGAAACGGCGGUGAACUGAGUGUUGGUCUGAUAUCAGUGAGCAGCAGGAUGGAGGAAACGUCUCUGCUGUGUCUGCUCUUUCUGAUCUCACUGCUGAGCUGCACCACAAACCAAGGUCAGUAACCUUCUUCUGUCACACUGUAAACAUGACUCACUCUUCCAGGAGACAUUUAUUAAGAACAUGGUGCAGAGAAAUAAAGACAUCAAACUCUUCGUCAUAAUAGUGUUAUUUUACUCCUGCUGACUCUGUUAUUUAAAUUAAAGUCAUAUACAUGUCUGACAUCAAGACUUCUGCUUCUUAAUGAAGAUUCUCAUUUAAGAAAAUAUACUAAGAGACAUUAAAAGCUCAACAUACAAAUAAAUAUAGCAAGAGUAAAUAAACAGGGAUUAGUGGCUUCCAUACUCCAUUAGAACAUUUCUUUUUAUUGGAUUUUUAAUAUAUCUUAUUAAAUAUAACUAUAUGUAAACACUAGGUUGUUGUGGGUUUUUUAAUUACUUUCAUUAUAAUAUCUGUUUUAAUGCCAUGCAGUGACAGCUGGUAAUGAAUGGAAACAGGAAAUAUGGGGUUAAAAGUUAACCUCUGAAAAUCAACAGGGGAAUGACAGCAGGUGUUAUAGAAAUGCAGCAAUUACUGAAAAAAGCCAUCACUUCACUUUUGUGUGUAUGUCUGUCCUAGUGAAUGAUUCAUAACACUGCAGGUCAACAGGAGUCACAAAGUGUCAUAAAUUCAGUUGUUGUGAAAGGUGUCUGACUGCUACAAAAAUGUACAUAAUGUGCUGUAUAACCUCUUUUCUUCUUCUUCCUCACAGCUCGUCUGACUGUGAGUCCCAGCAGCUCUCAGUUCUUUGAAGGAGACUUUGUGUCUCUGAGCUGUGAGGAGGACGACAGCUCUGCUGGAUGGACUCUGAGGAGAAACACAAGCAGAGAAACCAGAGCUGAGUGUAAGGAAUGGGGAACAUCAGCUGGUUCUUCCUGUAGCAUCACUGGUUUCUUCAAACUGGACAGUGGAGUUUACUGGUGUGAGUCCAGAGAGGGUCCCAUCAGUAACAUGGUUAACCUGACAGUCACUGGUGGAUCAGUGAUCCUGCAGAGUCCUGUCCUCCCUGUGAUGGAGGGAGAUGACGUCACU
Molecule: long non-coding RNA, 1167 nt
Organism: Oreochromis niloticus (Nile tilapia)
Lineage: Eukaryota; Metazoa; Chordata; Actinopteri; Cichliformes; Cichlidae
Exons: 3
Source: RefSeq, a predicted model, not a curated record